Molecule: ribosomal RNA, 472 nt
Filed under: uncultured bacterium
Lineage: Bacteria
Description: partial 16S ribosomal RNA
Rfam family: Bacterial small subunit ribosomal RNA
Source: RNAcentral
GACGAACGCUGGCGGCGUGCUUAACACAUGCAAGUCGAACGCUGAAGCUUGGUGCUUGCACUGGGUGGAUGAGUGGCGAACGGGUGAGUAAUAAGUGAGUAACCUGCCCUUGACUCUGGGAUAAGCCUGGGAAACUGGGUCUAAUACUGGAUACGACAUGUCACCGCAUGGUGGUGUGUGGAAAGGGUUUUACUGGUUUUGGAUGGGCUCACGGCCUAUCAGCUUGUUGGUGGGGUAAUGGCUCACCAAGGCGACGACGGGUAGCCGGCCUGAGAGGGUGACCGGCCACACUGGGACUGAGACACGGCCCAGACUCCUACGGGAGGCAGCAGUGGGGAAUAUUGCACCAUGGGCGGAAGCCUGAUGCAGCGACGCCGCGUGAGGGAUGACGGCCUUCGGGUUGUAAACCUCUUUCAGCACGGAAGAAGCGAAAGUGACGGUACGUGCAGAAGAAGCGCCGGCUAACUACGUG